This is a long non-coding RNA of Mytilus californianus (California mussel), 235 nucleotides long. RefSeq lists it as uncharacterized. The record is from RefSeq and is a predicted model, not a curated record. The transcript has 2 exons. Lineage: Eukaryota; Metazoa; Mollusca; Bivalvia; Mytilida; Mytilidae.
UGCAAAACAUUAAUAAAAUGCUCCGCUGGGGCGCAGCUUGAUACGACCACAGAGGUCGAACCCUGAACAGUUGGGGCAAGUAUGGACACAACAUUCAAGCUUGAUACAGCACUGAAUUUGGAUUGUAAUUAAAUAUUUGACACAGCAUAGGUUUCUGACACAGAAUGAAUGUGAUCUAAGAACUUAAAAAUUUUUAAUUUACCUAUUCAAACCAUAUCAUUAUUAUUUGCUUUUA